AACAGCAACGGUGAUUGCAAGAACUACUGCAAUCCCUGCGGUUUUUCCUCUUGGUAAAUGCGUUCUGGUCGUGACCAAGGGUGGUCUCCCAAAUCGGCCGGGAAUAAGGCUAUUGUUGCAGAACAAAACGCCGCAACCACUGCUGUGGUAAAUAUGUUCCAGCAGAGCUGCCCACCGCCGUCGGUGUAAUGAUUUCGAUAGCUGAACAAACGCCAUCUCCUGGGCAUUCCCACAGCUUGCCGACACUAGCUAUUAUAUCACGUGUGAAUGCAACUGCGGCUUAAUUUGGUUAUUAACAGUGCAAUAGUGCCAUGUCAUUGGCAAAAACACUAAGGGCUGCUGGCAAAUAUAGGUUGUAAAGUUUUUGGUAUCGAUGAACUUACUCGAAGAAGACGAUGGCCGAAAACAUAUGAUGAAACAUCUUCUGGCAUGCCUUUGACAAUCGUUAAGUCAGACGGAGGCUUCACAUACGAUAUUUCACACAUGGCUGGAAUUCGUUA
Molecule: long non-coding RNA, 500 nt
Filed under: Rhagoletis pomonella (apple maggot)
Lineage: Eukaryota; Metazoa; Arthropoda; Insecta; Diptera; Tephritidae
Description: uncharacterized LOC118749474
Source: RNAcentral